Molecule: unclassified non-coding RNA, 349 nt
Filed under: soil metagenome
Description: partial contains 5.8S ribosomal RNA, internal transcribed spacer 2, and large subunit ribosomal RNA
Rfam family: 5.8S ribosomal RNA (bases 1-120)
Source: RNAcentral
GAUGAAGAACGUAGUGAAAUGCGAUACGUAAUGUGAAUUGCAGAAUUCAGUGAAUCAUCGAGUCUUUGAACGCACAUUGCGCCCCCUGGUAUUCCGGGGGGCAUGCCUGUCCGAGCGUCAUUGCUGCCCUCAAGCACGGCUUGUGUGUUGGGCCUCCGCCCCCCGGCUCCCGGGGGGCGGGCCCGAAAGGCAGCGGCGGCACCGCGUCCGGUCCUCGAGCGUAUGGGGCUUCGUCACCCGCUCCGUAGGCCCGGCCGGCGCCCGCCGGCGACCCCCCUCAAUCUUUCCAGGUUGACCUCGGAUCAGGUAGGGGUACCCGCUGAACUUAAGCAUAUCAAUAAGCGGAGGA